RNAcentral lists this unclassified non-coding RNA (301 nucleotides) under plant metagenome. RNAcentral describes it as "partial contains 5.8S ribosomal RNA, internal transcribed spacer 2, and large subunit ribosomal RNA". The stretch from base 1 to 105 matches the Rfam family "5.8S ribosomal RNA", at positions 50 to 154 of the family's 154-position model. The record is from RNAcentral.
GAAAUGCGAUAAGUAGUGUGAAUUGCAGAAUUCAGUGAAUCAUCGAAUCUUUGAACGCACAUUGCGCCCUUUGGUAUUCCAAAGGGCAUGCCUGUUCGAGCGUCAUUUGUACCCUCAAGCUCUGCUUGGUGUUGGGCGUCUUUGUCUUCCCAGAAGACUCGCCUUAAAGUCAUUGGCAGCCGGCCUACUGGUUUCGGAGCGAAGCACAAGUCGCGCUCUCUUCCAGCCAAGGUCAGCGUCCACAAAGCCUUUUUUCAACUUUUGACCUCGGAUCAGGUAGGGAUACCCGCUGAACUUAAGC